UACGGGGGGGGGAAGCGUUGUUCGGAAUUACUGGGCGGAAAGGGCUCGUAGGCGGCCAACUAAGUCAGACGUGAAAUCCCUCAGCUUAACUGGGGAACUGCGUCUGAUACUGGAUGGCUUGGAUUCGGGAGAGGAAUGCGGAAUUCCAGGUGUAGCGGUGAAAUGCGUAGAUAUCUGGAGGAACACCGGUGGCGAAGGCGGCAUUCUGGACCGACAUUGACGCUGAGGAGCGAAAGCCAGGGGAGCAAACGGG
RNAcentral lists this ribosomal RNA (253 nucleotides) under uncultured bacterium. RNAcentral's name for it is "partial 16S ribosomal RNA". It matches the Rfam family "Bacterial small subunit ribosomal RNA", at positions 524 to 776 of the family's 1533-position model. The record is from RNAcentral.